This 2898-nucleotide long non-coding RNA is filed under the name Capsella grandiflora. RNAcentral describes it as "long non-coding RNA (CGRA_LNC000047)". Lineage: Eukaryota; Viridiplantae; Streptophyta; Magnoliopsida; Brassicales; Brassicaceae. The record is from RNAcentral.
UAUUCAUUGCUAACUCUCUAGUUUGAUUUCUCAACUGUAAUCAAAAGUUGUAGGUUUCUUGUUUCCUCACAAUUGAUUAAUCUAACAUUUUUGGUUAAAAAUUAGUUGAGCAACAAAUUGCAGAUACAAAUCUUGAUGUGAUGGUCUUAUAUAGCAAAGAAGAUUGUACCGAAACAGAAUAGAUCUUCUAUCCUAAACCAGAUAAGGUUAGAGCAAAAGGUUUCUUAGUUUAUUUGAGUUGAAUGUGUAUUUUGUAGGCUAUGGUCGCUAUUAGCUCAUUUAACAACAGUCUUCAUGAUCAUUCAAAUGAUCGUGACCAUAGUAGUUGAAUUAGUGUCCGAUAAAUGAUGCAAUGUAAUAUCUUAUAAAUCUCAUUUUAUCUUCUGUUUUAACAGUUCAGGAUUUGAGAACUUUGUGCUUACUUGCAACCAGUCUGGACAAAGGACCUCAUAAAUUCUCUGGCACCAUGAAGUAACAAAUUUCUCUUUUCUAUGUAUGUUCCAUCCCAAAAACUCUUUGUACAAAUAUUAUUCUCAGAUGUGUUAAUUAGCUUAUAGUUCUUUGACAAAUUAGAUACAUGGUUACAUGAUAAACAUGUGUUCAUUUGCAGAAGCUCACUCACAAGUCUCUAGCAUGACUAGUUGUUGACUGACAAAGAAGACAACUACAUAAGGUAUUACUUCAUCACUGAUGAGCGUUGAGAUCACUAAUCUAUUGAUGAAUCUAACGUUUUUUUUUAAUGUAAAAACUAGCUGAGCAACAAAUUGCAGGUACCAAACUUGAUGUGCUGGUCCUAGCAAAGGAAGUUGUACCACUUGUUGUCUUAGAUCAGAUAAGCUAUUGCCAUCUUAACGCAUCUUGAAUAAAAUAGACAAAGUUUUCUUAGUUUAUUUGAGUUGCGUAAAUAUUUGGGCAUGUGCAUUGGUUAUGGGAGUCAUCAUUAGAUUCUGCUAGCCAGUUCAUUUCACAGCAGUCUUCAUACUCACAAACUCAGAUUUUACUCGAACGAUUGUGACCAUACAGAGGUAUGCUCUUGAUUUUACUUACAGUUUGUAAAUUUUUUUUUACUUACACUUGGAAGUUUAACAUAUUACUUUCUUUUUGUUUCUCAUAUAUGGUUGUUUCAAGCACUGCUCAUUGCAGAUAAAAUCAGGGCAUGCUCUUUCUCAAAAGCACUGCAGUCCUUCUGAAGACAAUUAAAGCUAAAGUGCCAUCCUUCUGUUUCUAGAUGGUAUGUGGCUUAUUACAGUUUGUUGUUAAAUUUUUCUCUUCCAGUUUGAAUUUACAUUAUCAUAUACAGAUGUGGAUUAAGAAUUGUGGAAAGCUAUUCUUAGGAUGAGAACUGUGAAGCUUGAGCUGUGGUAGUAGCACCCAUUAUAAAUCAUUCUUUAUGCUAAGAAAUCUUCUAAUUUUUUUUUUUUAAUAUUGAUAACGAAUACUAAUCUUCACGAUUCUGAGUUAAGUGGUGUAAUGUUUGCAUUGGUGCUCCAAGAAGAUCUGUACUUAUAUUUUGUUGUUGAAGAUGUCUAGAGAGAAUUCACAAGAAUUACUUAAAUUUUUGGUCCACCCAUUUAUAGUCAGCAACCUUGACGGUAUUUUGUGUGUAACUGGUAAGGUAACUUAGUUAUUUUUAUCAGACAUUUGAGCAUUAUUAUUUCUACGUAAGGCAUAGCAAUCAUCCACAACUAAUCAUGUAUGUUUUCAUUGACUUUAUUUCUUUAGGUGACAGCAGAUACUAUAUCUAGUGAUGUAUUGAUCCUGGCCAAAAAGGUUGCACUAAAACUGAGUAAAGCCUAUUCGCAAUGCCCGCUCAGUUACUCACAAAGUUAUAGUAUUGGUUCAGGCCAACAAAGGAUUACGAGUCUCCAUGCUUCAUUCAAUUUAUUUUCCUGUAAACAGUGCAAGAGAGUGUAAACAGCUAGGGGUAACAGACGCUACGCGCCUCUACUAAACACUUUGUAAGUUGUUUUUACUCAUCUUAAAACGUCUCUAAUAAACCGACUCAAACCUAUACAUUUUUCAUAAGCUCAACUCAAGUAAUCUUCUUGAUGGUAAACUAUGUCUGGAACUUGCAGUACUGUAAAAUUACCCCGUUAUAGCUAUGAAAACAAGACAACUAUAGUUAGAGAAAAAAAAAGUUAAAACCAAUUUUUGAAAUAAUUCAACAGAUUAGUCCAAGGCCUUAAAUUUUGAUGAUUUUGAAUUGAUAUCGUUAAUUGUAAAAUUUUAAUUUGUUCUCAAAUCUGUUGCAUAUAUGAUAUGCGUUUAUUUGCAGAUCACAAUGCUUGAGAGACAACCUCAAGAGUUCCAUCGUUCAGUUUCUUAAGUUCAGCUCUUCUCUCAGGUAUGUUUUCAACCUCUUUCUUUUAUUUAGGCUUCAUUUUUGCUCUACAUUUUGAAAAUAUCAUCUCUUUUCUUUUUAUGCAGUAGCAGAUUCAUAGCCAACGUGGCUAUCUCACUAAACAAGAAAUCUUCGUAAGGUAUGCACGACCGACUUCAACAAUAUUUUCCUUGAGUUCCUCAAUAGCGUGACCUCAGUCAACAUCCUGAAUCUUUGUUUGUUAUUUCUUUCUUACAUGUUUUACUUGUUUUGCUUGUUUUCUUCUCUACUUCAUUGUUUGUUUGUUUCUUUGUGUAUUUGAUUCUAUUGCUUAGUGUAUUGCAUGUUUCUUUGCUUCUUUGAUUCCUCUGCUUAGAGUAUUGCUUAUUUUUUUGCUUCAUUUUUUCACUGCUUAGUGUAUUGCAUGUUUCUUUGAUUCUUUGACUCCUCUGCUUAGUGUAUGUAUUGCUUGUUUCUUUGAUUCUUUGACUCCUCUGCUUAGUCUAUGUAUUGCUUGUUUCUUUGCUUCUUUGAUUCCUCUGUUUAGUGCAUUGCUUGAUUUUGUACUUCCGUGUUUU